AGAACGAACGCUGGCGGCGUGGAUAAGACAUGCAAGUCGAACGGGAUAUCUUUUGUAGCAAUACAGGGGGAUGUUCAGUGGCGUAAGGGUGCGUAACACGUGGGCAAUCUGCCAAUUGAAGUGGGGGAUAGCUCGCCGAAAGGCGAAUUAAUACCGCAUGUGGUUAAGAGAGGAUUCUCUCUGACACCAAAGCCGGGGACCGUCGCAAGACGGCCUGGCGCUUCUUGAUGAGCCCGCGGCCUAUCAGUCUUGUUGGUGAGGUCACGGCUCACCAAGGCGAUGACGGGUAGCUGGUCUGGAGACGGACGACCAGCCACACGUGGAACUGACGACGACGGUCCAGAACACCGUACGGGUGGCAGCAGUCGAGUAACUUUUUCUCGAGGUGGGGACCAACCCGUGAAGGA
RNAcentral lists this ribosomal RNA (407 nucleotides) under uncultured soil bacterium. RNAcentral describes it as "bacterial SSU rRNA". It matches the Rfam family "Bacterial small subunit ribosomal RNA", at positions 26 to 390 of the family's 1533-position model. The record is from RNAcentral.